RNAcentral lists this ribosomal RNA (508 nucleotides) under uncultured bacterium. RNAcentral describes it as "partial 16S ribosomal RNA". It matches the Rfam family "Bacterial small subunit ribosomal RNA", at positions 28 to 507 of the family's 1533-position model. The record is from RNAcentral.
GACGAACGCUGGCGGCGUGCCUAAUACAUGCAGGUCGAACGCUUCUUUCCUCCCGAGUGCUUGCACUCAAUUGGAAAGCGGAGUGGCGGACGGGUGAGUAACACGUGGGUAACCUACCCAUCAGAGGGGGAUAACACUUGGAAACAGGUGCUAAUACCGCAUAACAGUUUAUGCCGCAUGGCAUAAGAGUGAAAGGCGCUUUCGGGUGUCGCUGAUGGAUGGACCCGCGGUGCAUUAGCUAGUUGGUGAGGUAACGGCUCACCAAGGCCACGAUGCAUAGCCGACCUGAGAGGGUGAUCGGCCACACUGGGACUGAGACACGGCCCAGACUCCUACGGGAGGCAGCAGUAGGGAAUCUUCGGCAAUGGACGAAAGUCUGACCGAGCAACGCCGCGUGAGUGAAGAAGGUUUUCGGAUCGUAAAACUCUGUUGUUAGAGAAGAACAAGGACGUUAGUAACUGAACGUCCCCUGACGGUAUCUAACCAGAAAGCCACGGCUAACUACGUG